Molecule: long non-coding RNA, 1282 nt
Filed under: Marmota marmota marmota (Alpine marmot)
Lineage: Eukaryota; Metazoa; Chordata; Mammalia; Rodentia; Sciuridae
Description: lncRNA (ENSMMMG00000016484.1)
Source: RNAcentral
UGGAGUCUAAGUUGCUUAGCGCCUUGCUAGAUUGCUGAGGCUGGCCUCAAAGUUGGUAUCUUCCUGCCUCAGCCUCCUGAGCCACUGGGAUCCCAGGUGGCUUCAGUGUCAGUCGCUCCAGUAUCAUGCUAUUGGGCACCUGCUGUGUGCCUAGGGAGCUCAGCCUAUGGGCAGGGUAGUUGGUAAGAGAGACGGUGAGCCGCAAGUAGGCAGAAAGCAGGAGAGACGCUAGCAAGGGCCCGGAGGCGCUUUAUUUGCUUAGAGAUGUGGGUUGGGACUUUUCGGCGGGGGCCUUUGGGGCGGUGAGUUCUGCCCAGGUGGGAGCAACACCCUGUGCUGGUUGCUGGCCUCCUGCACUCUGAUGGCGAUGCUGGCCCUGUCCCAGUCCUGGGAAGGGGGUGCUGCUUCUCCAGCAGGCCUGGAGACAGGUAGGUGUGCACUCUUCCUUGGGGUCAGUCCCACAGCAGCUCCAGGGCGCGGCCCAGCGAGGCCUCGGUGGCCUCGGCCAGGUAUUCACAGCACAGCCAGUCCUCCAGGCCCGGCGCCUCCCCGCCUGCAGCGCGCUCCGCCAGGUGCACCACCAGCAGCGCGCGGCGAACCCGCAGCAGGGCCCCAGCGGUGCCCCCGCGGCCACGCAGCUCAAGCCCCGGCCCCCAGAGCAGUGUCUGCAGCGCACCCCGCGUCUGAGCCGCGGAGGGCCGCCUUCGGGGCAGCUGGGCUACCAGGCGCUCCAGGCCCACGGCCACCGGUGUGGCCGAGGGCGUGGCCGGGCCCAGCAGUGUGCGGAGCAGGCGACCCAUCUGCAGCGCAUGGGCGCCCAGGGAUCCCUGGGGCCGCUGGCAGACGCAGCCAAGUCGGCAAGCAGCAGGCGCGGGGGUCCUGGCCCACAGCCCCGCGGCGCCGCCAGCAGCAGGUUCUCUGGCCGCAGUUCCAGCAGGGUCGCGCCCUGCGCCUCCAGGCGAUCCAGGGCGGCGCUCAGCUGCAGGAACAAGAGGGCCACCUCCCACGCAGACUCAGCAGGCCGCUGUGCGCCGACUUCUGCCAGCCACUGCGCCACUGUACGCUCUGGCACCUCCGCGGCCAGCACCGCGGGACCUCUCCAGGGCGCCAGCGGCAGUGCGCCCUCGGGCACCAAGCCACACAGCCCCUGCAGGUUGAAGUGUGGAGGCAGCGAGGCCUGCAGCUCCACGCCCCAUGGGUGGGGCACGGUCGCUCCCGGCUUGGGCACCUGUGGGUCAGAGGGGGCCAUCAGACCCCGACCACUGCGUCCCCCAACCAGCAC